AGUUCAUUGUCACCAGAGUUAAGGUCCAUUUCAUGAUCAGUUCAUUGUCACCAGAGUUAAGGUCCAUUUCAUGAUCAGUUCAUUGUCA
Mytilus californianus (California mussel) is the source of this 88-nucleotide long non-coding RNA. RefSeq lists it as uncharacterized. The transcript has 3 exons. NCBI's taxonomy places the organism in Eukaryota, Metazoa, Mollusca, Bivalvia, Mytilida, Mytilidae. The record is from RefSeq and is a predicted model, not a curated record.